This is a long non-coding RNA of Gorilla gorilla gorilla (western lowland gorilla), 318 nucleotides long. RefSeq lists it as uncharacterized. The transcript is spliced from 3 exons. The record is from RefSeq and is a predicted model, not a curated record. NCBI's taxonomy places the organism in Eukaryota, Metazoa, Chordata, Mammalia, Primates, Hominidae.
AGAGUGCAGGCUGCAGACCCAGAGGCCAGUUGUGGGGUUUUGCAGUGAACCAGCUUCCCGUGGGCACCCUCUGUACUACUUACCAUUGACCCAAACCACCUGUCUGUACAUCCUGACCCAAGGCUGCCCUGUGGACUGAAAUGCACCCCUCUGCCUCUGCCUGUCAAAUCAUACCCAUCCAUCAAGUUCCUGAUGAAACGCCUCCUCUCCAAGCACCGCUUAGCCCAGCUAUGUAUCUGCCUACCUUAUCUCUCUUAACAGACAGUAUGCACCUUGAUGGCAGCUUGUAAUCGCCAAAUGCUUAACGGAAGACAGCGG